RNAcentral lists this long non-coding RNA (1107 nucleotides) under Coturnix japonica (Japanese quail). RNAcentral describes it as "lncRNA (ENSCJPG00005018651.1)". The record is from RNAcentral. Lineage: Eukaryota; Metazoa; Chordata; Aves; Galliformes; Phasianidae.
GGGGGGGGGGAGAAGAAGAAGAAGAAUAAAAGCGGGGUGGGGGUUGCGGAGCUCGGAAGCGAUGCUUUGCGGGGCGGGGGGUGCGGGGCGGCCGCGCGGAGAAGAAGCGGGUGCGCAGCGUUGCGCGGGUUUUGCGCGGGGGGCAGGCGCAGGGCAGCGCCGCAUCCUCGGGCCCGCAGCAACUUUUCGUUGCCCCCAACCUCCCCUCCAUCCGCACGCCGCGCAGUCCCGGCACGCUGCGCGGGUGGCUUGAAAAUAGGGGAUGGGGGGCAUAAAGGGCCGGGGCAGUUAGGCCCGCGGGUACCCGCGCAUCCCCCCCUACCUCCUUACCUGCGCGGAGCAACGAAGCGGGCGCAGCCUGCGCGCCUCAGCGCCCCCAGCCCCCCCGCACAAGCAGCAUUGCGCGGGUGCGCAGCGGCGCGCACCGGCCGCCGAGCGGGAGUGCGGGAGCCGAGCGUGGCGCUGCUGCCGGGAGUUGCGCAUCCCGCGCCGGGUCUCCGCACCGCCCCGCGGGACGGCGCUGGGGGACGGGGAGAGGGGAGGGGGGGAGCUGAGAGCAGCCCUGUAAAGUUUGGGAUCCCGGCGGAGAACCGGCACCGAGCGGCUGCGGGAGCAACGAGGGGCGAGGGGAGGCCGAGCGGGUGCUGCAGCGAGCGGGCCGCCCCAAGUUACCGACUUUGUUCGCUACAAACUAUUUUCUCGCAGCUGCGGGAGCCCGGUUGGAACCUAUUUUCUUCCCCCGCUCUUUUGGGUUUAGUAUUUGUUGUUUUGUCGGUUGUUUUUCUGUUGUUUUUUAUUUGCGUUCUGCCUUUUAGCGGCGCUCAAACCAAAGCUCCGUGGCCGUGGGGCAGCAGCUCCGUACGGCGGCUCCGCGGAGCUCCGCAGGUCGCCCCCGGGCGCGGAGCCGUUCGCCCCCCGCCGCGCUCCGCUCUCGGGGCCGGACCCGCGGCGCCACCUCCCGGCGGCAGCGCACCUGGGUGCGGGGCGGGACGUGCGUCGGUCCGUCCUUCGUGCUGCUGUCCGCAGCGAAGGGCGAAAUCCUGGAAUAAACGCUGUUUAUCAGAAACUCUCUCUGCUGUUUUUGAGUUCACAGACCUAAACCAGUAA